CCGGAAACUAUGAACUGGAUCCCUUAGGCGAAACGGUUCUACCUGGGUUAAGCUUCGUAAAACACCCUGAGCAAAGAGUACUUCUACCCAAAAAUUAUAAGCUGGAUCCCCCUAGGCGAAACGGUUCUACCUGGGUUAAGCUACGUAAAACACCCUGAGCGAAGAGUACUUCUACCCGGAAACUAUGAGCUGGAUUCCCCUAGGCGAAACGGUUCUACCUGAGUUAAGCUACGUAAAACACCCUGAGCAAAGAGUACUUCUACCCGGAAACUAGGAGCUGGAUCCCCCUAGGCGAAAUGGUUCUACCUGGGUUAAGCUACGUAAAACACCAUGAGCGAAAAGUACUUCUACCCGGAAACUAUGAACUGGAUCCCCCUAGGCGAAACGGUUCUACCUGGGUUAAGCUACGUAAAACACCCUGAGCAAAGAGUACUUCUACCCAAAAAUUAUAAGCUGGAUCCCCCUAGGCGAAACGGUUCUAUCUAGGUUAAGCUACGUAAAACACCCUGAGCGAAUAGUACUUCUACCCAGAAACUAUGAGUUGGAUCCCCUUAGGCGAAACGGUUCUACCUGGGUUAAGCUACGUAAAACACCCUGAGCAAAGAGUACUUCUACCCGGAAACUAUGAGCUGGAUCCCCCUAGGCGAAACGGUUCUGCCUAGGGUAAGCUACGUAAAACAUCCUGAGCGAAGAGUACUUCUACCUGAAAACUAUGAGCUGGAUCCCCCUAGGCGAAAAAGUUCUACUUGGGUUAAGCUACAAAAAUGGGAGGCGUGAAUAAUAUUGAUGCACGCUAAAAACAGAAAAAUGGAGAUUUUAAGGAUCUUACGUUUGGUGACAUUCA
RNAcentral lists this long non-coding RNA (844 nucleotides) under Nicotiana tabacum (common tobacco). RNAcentral describes it as "long non-coding RNA (NTAB_LNC012048)". The record is from RNAcentral. Lineage: Eukaryota; Viridiplantae; Streptophyta; Magnoliopsida; Solanales; Solanaceae.